This 1123-nucleotide long non-coding RNA is filed under the name Homo sapiens (human). RNAcentral describes it as "HSALNT0006562". Lineage: Eukaryota; Metazoa; Chordata; Mammalia; Primates; Hominidae. The record is from RNAcentral.
AGCCUGAUGGAGGAUAACAUAUUCUCCUCUAAUUUGUAUAGUAUAUGAAAGUUUACAGGUUUUUUUGUGGAGUGGGAAGAUGGUUUUUUUUUUUUCCUCUUCUUCUGACCUUAGUAUAUUUUUUAAAGGUCUUAAGCCAAGGGAAUUAAACUAAUAUUUAUUAAGGACUGCCAUCUGUACUCGGUAAUUUACAUCUUUUUUUUAUUUGAUUUUCACAACAUAUCUGUGUAGUAGGGGGUAGGUAUGUGUAAUCUCAGUUUUACAGACUAGGAAACUGAGAAAUUAAACUGCUGUGAUUAGCCAGUGAUAAACACAACCAGUAAAUGAGAAAGCUUGGACUUGAAGGUAAACCCAACUCUGCCUCUCAACUAGAUAAGUGGUUAAAAAACUCAGUUUGUUAUAGUUCAUAUGUUUUUAAAUGGUGGAGCUGGUAUCUCUUCAGAAAGAACUUCAGUGGAUAAAAUAAGUGAACUUACCUUUACGCAUUAAAACCUAUAGCAAAUUUCCAACAUCUGAGCACUAAAAACAAAGAGAUUAUCUCAUCAACUAAGGAAGAAAUUGGCGGAAGUGUAUGAAAGGCACAUCAAUGCAGAAUUAUUUUAACUGACCUGAGAGUUCAUGGGCACCGGAGUUAUGUAUGGGAUAGUUCUAGGUAAAGACUUAGGAUGCACUUCCUCUGGAACCCCAGUCACCUCUUUAGCUGAGUAACCACAAGUUUAAGCAUCACUACAUUUCUGUUUCAGUAAAAAUUUAAAGAAGUUUAGCUUUUUUUGGUAUAUCAUAGAAUUCAGAAGGAAGGUGAGGAAAAACUCUUAAUGAAAGACAGUGUCUUUGAACAGCUGCCAUAGAAUUGAGAAUAAGUGUAUCUUGUUAGAGACUUUCAUUGAUCAAUGAAAAUAACUCUUCACUAAUUUACUGAUUUCUUUUUUUUUAAAGGUAAAAUUAGUUAUAUAAGCAGACAAAAGGUUGGAGAAGGAUUUAUUUAUAUAUAUAUUUUAAAUUUUAUAUACCAAAUGUAUAUUUGAAAUACAUAUGAUUUAUUUAUGUUUGUUAUAUAAGUGUAUUUAUACUUUGCAUAUUUAUUAUAUUAUAUAUGUAUUUCUAUUACCAAAAGACUGACAGC